UGUUUGUGUUCAUAUGUAUGAAUGUGUUGACAUACACAUAGAUACUCAAAUUCAGAUUGGCCGUCACAAUGAGAUGUGGCUAACAUUUGCAGACUAAAGGCUUGGUCCACUUCUUUCAUGAUGUAGACCACUAUGCAUGUAUGCAUAACAGGAGUAAUGGAUAUUGAAAUUCAUGUACAUAUGAGAUGUACCACCGCCCUGAUUCAUGAGAUGAUUACUAUGAGAUUUCAUGCAGAUUAGCACAAUCAGCUUUAUAUCCAGUCACAUUGUGUAUGAAUGGAUCAAUGUUUGAUCGGAUUGACCCCAUGUGAUGAUCAUGUAAACGAAGAACGCUUAAUCGUUCACGAUGUGUGAAUUGAGCCACACGUACCACAAAAGCAAUACUUACAAGUGACUUUAGUCUAGUUGUUGUGUGAUAUGCUAGUCCAGUAAGUGACUUUAGUGUUCUUGUUACCCUAUGCGGUAAGGUCGCACUGAGGUGACACUACUUUGGUAUGCAUUCUCAAGACUAUGUGUACAUAUUCGGCUUGCUUAAUAGCAAGAUGGGAAAGCAACCAAAUCUAGGUCAUAGAAAUGGGUUAAAUGAGAAAUAUACACUACAAGAAAUAUAGGCUUAGCCGUCGGUUGGGGUUACCCUUUGCCGGCGGCCAGAUUUACCGACCGCCAGUAAAGGGGCCCUAUAAAUUGAAAACACGGGACGCCCUAAAACUUCAUUUGCAAAGCUCGCCCUAAGCUCUCUCUCCGCCCACUCUCCUUCAAGCUCUCCCUCUCUCUCCCUCUCUCCCUGCCCGCUCUCCCUCAAGCCCUCCCUCUCUGCUCGCUCUCUCUCUCUCUCUCUGCCUCUCCCUCUCCCUAUCCGCUCACUCUCCCUCUCGCGUCUGAACUCCCCUUUUCCACCAGCUAGCUGGGUGGUGUUGGGGUCAUCACCUAAUCCGAAAACCCCCAAACCCUCUUUCUCUUGAUCGACUCUCCCCUUCUCUCUUUGAUCGAUCUCUCUCCCUCUUACAUCGGCCAAUGGCAUUCUACCGCAACCCAGCGGCGCAUCAGCUGCAUCGUGAUGGAGAUCCGACCAUACCUCAGCAUCUAACGAAUAGGGUUUCUACCCUGGAAGGCUGCAAGGCUGAGGAACCUGACUUACUCUGCACCAUUGUAUGUGGAUGUCACAAAACGUGUCAUAAAGAAAGUGCAUGACUGUGAAGAAGUCACAGAGACACAGGAGUUCACCAAAGUUUUCAUUGGGAAGGUUCCUAUAAUGCUGUGGUCUAGUUUUUGUACGUUGUACCAGAAUUUAGAAAAAGAUCUAACAGAACUCGGGGAAUGUCCAUAUGACCAAGGUGGAUAUUGUGACUGAUUCUGUCUUGUGCCUUACCAUGCUAGUGCUAAAGUUUGGCAUUCCUUGUGGUCUGCAGGGCUCUUCAGGGCAGUAUAUUUGGGCUACUCUUCCUUAUAUUCGGACAGAAAUCCCAAUAAUUAUUGUGUUUCGAGCAUUAGGAUUGUAGUUCUGAUUGGAAAAGGUCCUAGUGGCCUGGAUAUCUGUAGAGAUAUUUCAAAAUUAGCUAAAGAAGUCCAUCUAACAUCAAGAUCCAUAGAUGUUGAAGUUGCGAAGUUGGAGGGCCAUGAUAAUAUUUGGCAGCAUCUGAUGGUAUGUUGACCCCUUUACUCUCACUACAUCCUGUAGUUCCCACUACAUAAUUCCUUGCAUUAAGGUGUCUCACAAAAAUCUUUUUCAUUGGAAAUGUUAUGUUGAAAAUAUGAAAUCUGAGUGGACAUAAAGGAACAAAGGCACGGCACUAAUUUGAGCUCCUUAUUGCAGAUAAAGUCCGUUCAUUAAGACAGAACAGUGCUAUUUCAUGAUGGAUCAUCAGUUUUUGCAGAUGUCAUCUUCCAUUGUACAGGGUACCCAAUGGACCCAACCUGAGCUUCUACCACUUCUUUUGAAUUCAGCCCCACUUGCCAUUUAUCAUCAAUAUCUUCAGGUCCAAUGCCCUGGGUCCUGUUGGCUUUAUUUUGUGUGCAUCUGUUAGUCUACUCUUUUUAAUGGUAAUCAUGUUAAAAGCUAUUGAAUUGAUGUGGCAUACCUAUCAGUCCCAGCCAAAACCCGUCCUGUUUCAGUGAUGAGUUCUGAUCCCAACCAAUUCGACAGUCUGGUCCAUUCCAGGUAAGUAAACACCGGUCAUUGCUGAGGCUCAUCAAACUGGAAGCUCCUCAUUGAUCAAGAAGGCUGUCAAACUUUUGACUUCUGGAGGGAACAUGCUGGAGUUGUGUCAUGAGCUACGCUUACCCUUUGUUAAUUGGGUUAUAACAAACCAGGAAGACUUUGACAGGGAACAGAAAUUUGGGGGUGAAGCAACCAGUAGUAUGGUGCCUGAUCGUGAUUCAAGCAUUUGAAAUGAUGGCAAUUGCUAUGAUCGAAGUGUGAAAGAACUCUCAAGACAGAGAGCUAACAUUUCUGAAUUUUGCAACAAGGAGAUCAUCACUACAAGAAAUCGGCCCUUAGCCGACCGAUGGGCCAACCCUUUGCCGGUGGCCAGUUUUAACGGCUGCCGGCAGGGUCCCUAUAUAUAAAAGAAAAAAGGGGUCCCUUUUAUCUUUCCCUUCUUCGCUAUGUAUUUAUUUUCUCAUGCUUUCUUCGUUUAAUUGCAGUUUGAGAGUGUUUCAUUACCAUGAUAAUGGUUGAUCAUGUAUGUGUAUAGUGUGAUAGUUUGCUGUAUAUGUUUGGAUUCUAGAAACUAAGUUUGAAAAUCUUGGAUGGUUUUGAAUCAUAUAGCAGCACGACCUAUGUUGCCUUGAAAGGAAUUUCGAUAAAUGACGGGAUAUGCAGAUAGUUGUAUCUGCAUAUACUUAAUGAAUACAACUUCUUUUACACACUUCAAAUCUAUUCUACUAAUUUUAUUUUUUUAUUUGACGAGUAUGAAUUUAUGAUUAAGGGCCUGUUUGGAUAUCAUCAAAUAAGUUACUUUUUCUAUUUACAGCAGUAGAUAAGUAACUUAUUUCAGAUAAGUAGGUUUUGUUUAUGAUUAGUUAUAAGUAACUUUUUUACUUACAAGUACUUAAUCAAUUCAUUUAUAUGUGGAUCCAUCAUGAUGUAUGUGUUUCAUCCAUGCUGUCCAUCCUUUUUUUCAAAUCAUUUCAGUUAUAUCCUGAUUUGUUUGACCAUUCACUAGCAUUUUUCUGUUCCAAUAACUUGGGUAAUUAAUUUCUUAGCUUAAUUGGUUGCUGAUAUUUUGUCCAAUCAAACGACUAUCCUGUUUUUUGGUUGGUAGGUUGGUCUGUGAGGCAAGUUACUGUGCUUAAUUUUCUGGUACUUUUUCUUGGCAGAUUUCUAAAUAAGCUUUGAUUUAGGCUCAAUUAUCAAAAGAAGAAAAUUGUACAUGAUGAGUAACGCGAGGGUCGUUCAUUAGUUGUUAUUGGCCCCUCAUUGUAUCUUUUGUAGAACUUUCUCCAUUUUGCUUGUCCAAACAAACAACUAUUCUGUUUUAUUGUUGGUAGGUGGGUCUGUGAGGCAAGUUACUGUGCUUAAUUUUCUGGUACUUUUGUCUGGGCAGAUUUCUAAAUAAGCUUUGAUUUAGGCUCAAUUGUCAAAGGAAGAAAAUUGGUACAGGAUUAGUAACGCCAGGGUUGUUCGUUAGUUGUUAUUGGCCCCUCUUUGUAUCUUUGGUAGCACUUUCUCCAUUUUGCUUCAAUAUAUUUUGCCAUCUUUCAAAGAAAAAGAAAGUGUACUUUGAAGGAAUUUACACAUUCUGCCUGAGGGUGAAAUUUUACUAUAUUUAUGCAUAUGCUGCCUAUGAGAUGCAUUAUGUCUUUAGAUGAAGCAUGCCUAUAGUGAAUUAUAUAUGUCCACCAUUAUCUGUUGAAUAUUAUUAGAGUUAUUUGUCUUCUCGGUUCACCAUCCAAAACAUGGUAAUGCUACAUUAAGUCAUUGCUAUUUGUUGUUUACAAAAUAUCUAUCAAAUUAGGGGUGGCAAUAGGUUGAGCGCUGCCCUAACCCAGCCUUGGCCCUAAUCGGACUUGAAAGGCCCUGAUGUUAGCCUUAGCCUUACAGGGCCAUGCAGGCUAGGGCAGAAAAAGAGUUAAACGAUCAAAGGUUUGAAAAUAGUCCAGUCUUAAGAUUUAUUUUUUUAUUUUUUUGGGACAUUCUCCAUUUAUGACAAGUCCCAUCAUAUGCACAGUUUGGAUCCCCUGGAUCCAACAAGUGUCUUUAAGAUCAAAACAAAUGAUUUGAAUGGGAUGUAAAGAAUCGAAGUGAAGUGGACCAUUAUGGGAAAAAUCGGAAAGAAGGGUAAACCUUAACUUUCUUUUUUAUUUUUUCAUCAUCUUUUUAUGUAUUUCCAAUGUAAUGGGCCAUUAUUCACCAAAUCAUGUUUAAUUUGCAUUCAAUUAGGGCCCAUUUAGUUGACUUUCAACAAGUCAAAUCGACAAGCAACAUUCUCAUCAAAGAAUGGUCCGAUACACCGUUGAAUACAUGUUCAAAAGACACACAAAAAAAAAUGAUAGAUUCGUGAAUAUCUCAUUUUUUCCCCCUAUUUUCUGAUAUUUUUAAAAUAUUUUUUUUUGCUUAAAAAAAAUAUGACCGAUACUACACCUAUCUGAAUGUGGAAGUUCCCUGACAUUUUCUGAUGUGCAUGAUGGUUAAGUGCUUUUUUUUUCCCCAUCUACUUAUCCGACAAUUCAGGGCACUUCAGUUGGUAAACAUUUGGAACUCGUCUUUUUCUGGCAAAAUUUCCCUUUUUGCUGUGACACUAUUGAAGAUGAUUUUCUGUUUUGCAUUUCUGCUUCUUUGUGCAUGUGCCAUUUUGGUGCCUGUGCGUGUAAUGUUGCUGCUGCCAUGUGCACAUGCUCAGGCAUGCCCAUGUGGUGAGUGGCUGUGCAAGUGGCUUUUGCAGGGACAUUUAUUUCAAAGUUAUAAAAACUUUUAUAUUUAUUGUAUGUGGGUUAAUGUAUGCCUCAGAAUGACUUAAAUGACUUAUUUAACAGAUGAGAAUAUUCUGUUCUUAGGUUUAAGUUUGAUGAUGAAUGGGUAACAAAAGAAGAUAUGAAGAGGGCAUUAGAGGAGCAAUAUGGAGGUGAGGAAGAGGAUUCUUGCAAAUCGUCAGUUUGUUGCUCUCUCGAAAGAGCGGAAGGCCCAUUAUAUAUCAGAACUUGAGCGGAAAGUUCAGACUGUUCAAAUUGAAGCCAACUUUUUCUGCACAUCUCACAUUAUUCCAGUUUUGUACCAAUUGAAUUAUGUCUUUGAGAAUGUAUUCUUUUUUUCUUUUUUCUUUUUUUCCCCUUUUCAUUCUUUCUUUUUCUCUUCAUUCACUAGGAAGAUUCACUAGGUUGCUUCAAAUCAUUGUGGUUAGUUAUUCUGUUAUUGUAUUUGGUGAACUCAUGGAAUUCCAUGGAACUGAUUGAAUGGAAGGAGCUUCUGUUGUUCAUACAAGUCAUGUUUCUGAUUUUUUGGAUGAAUUGGGUGUGUGAAAUUGCAUGGAACUGAUCAAAUGAACAUGGAAUUUCUAUUGGGAAGAAACACCGACUCCUCAGAAGGCCAUAGACAGUACGUUCAUUGGAUUCUCCGCAAGUUCUAAGAGUUCCUGUCAUACCUUUUAGUAAAUUUGUUUUUUUUUUUUUUUUGGAUUCUCCAUAGACAUUAAGUUUUCUUCUUGUUGUUGGUUUUUCUGGAUUCUCCAUAUGAAAUUAUGAGAAAUCAUGCCUAAAACAUUUAAAAGCAUUUGUUGGAGCCCACCUAAGUUUUGAAAUAGCCUAAAAUCUUUUGUGACCCCUUAUCCAAGUGACCCCUUAUCUAAGUCACAAUGAAUGGCCUAGAUGUAUAAACCACAUCUCGUUGGGUCCGCUGCACAAAAAAAAGAAGGUUUCAAUGGAUGUGCAUCCACUCUUAUCCAUUGCUCAUGUUGUAGCUCACCUAAGUUGUGAAUUGGCCUCAUUUUUAAGCCCAUGGCUCACCAUGAAAGGGUAUAUCUAAUUCAUAGGAUAGAUGUCUACAAAUUUUGAGGAUGUGUUGCAAGCAGAAAACCUUUACUUGAUUACUGAGGCUAUUAUCAUUUUGCAGAAAUAUUUUAGACCAAUGAAAUUUUAAUAUGAUUGAAAUGGACGGACAGCUGAAGGAAGCAGAAGAGUCCGAAGUGGAAGAUGCUUCAAAUAUGACUAAAAUGGAAGGACAACUGGAGGAAGAGGAAGAUGCUUCACAUGUGACUAGAAUGGAAGAACAACAGGAGGAAUUAUGCAUUUCUUCAAGCUAUAUGUUUUCAUAAGUGAUAUUAGUUCUUAACUUCUAACAUCUUGAUUUAUGUUGAAAUUUAAGCUUUCAAUCCAAUGAGAACAAAUCCUGGUGGGUCAUUGCAAGACUAAAUUGCGUACAAUGUGGGCAAUACAGUUGAUGACUGCCCUCAUUUUGAAAAUAGUACAAAAGGCUUGUUUGGAUUUUCCAAUGGGUGCCUAACCAUGAAGAGAUAGGAUGAGAUUAGUGCAUUGUUUGGUUAGCCAGGGCACUUUUUCAUUAUUUCAGCUUUUGUUUCCAAUCAAAGUAUUGUAUUAGCAGAUAUUGCUUUCC
RNA transcript from Magnolia sinica, 6547 nucleotides. It is a transcript of the gene named pentatricopeptide repeat-containing protein At3g58590, with no coding region annotated. The transcript is spliced from 12 exons. Lineage: Eukaryota; Viridiplantae; Streptophyta; Magnoliopsida; Magnoliales; Magnoliaceae. The record is from RefSeq and is a predicted model, not a curated record.